Molecule: long non-coding RNA, 424 nt
Filed under: Equus asinus (donkey)
Lineage: Eukaryota; Metazoa; Chordata; Mammalia; Perissodactyla; Equidae
Description: lncRNA (ENSEASG00005024674.1)
Source: RNAcentral
CAGGUGUUGAGAAUAGGCUGAAGGCUCCUGGAAGAGGAAGUGAGAACGUAGCGAACGUAGCUAGCGCAUCUGGCGCGGAGCGGGCGAGGAAAGGUGAGGGCAUCGGCCGGAAGUGACGCCCUGCCCGCUCAGGGCGGAAGUUCCCCGCCCCAGCUGUAAGAAUUGGGGUUUGGCUAGAGGCGAGCGAGGAUCCCGGCCGGGCUCCAGUUGUCCACGGCUCCUCCUCCUGUCGCGGCCGGCGUGCUUCCCGGGACUCAGGAAGAUUAGCCCUGAGCUAACUUCUGCCAAGCCUCCUCUUUUUGCUGAGGAAGGCUGGCCCUGAGCUAACAUCCAUGCCCAUCUUCCUUUACCUUAUAUGUUGGAUGCCUACCACAGCAUGGCGUGCCAAGCAGUGCCAUGUCCGCACCUGGGAUCUGAAGCAGCG